Molecule: long non-coding RNA, 513 nt
Organism: Strongylocentrotus purpuratus (purple sea urchin)
Lineage: Eukaryota; Metazoa; Echinodermata; Echinoidea; Camarodonta; Strongylocentrotidae
Exons: 3
Source: RefSeq, a predicted model, not a curated record
GAAGACAUCGAGCGAAGAAACUGUCGCUGUGACCGCACCGACCAAAACAACGCCCCCAAAGCUUCAAGGUCUGUUACGUGUUUUAGCGGAUAUGAACGAGGUAGAAGCCGUAGCUUUUGGAAUUUCGAUGCCCAUGAUUUUGUACUUCACAUUUCUCAUGCUGGCUCUCCUUCUGCGCUUCAUCGUCCUUUGGAUUAGAGGACUAAACAAAAAAGAGGUGGAACCAGACCAAGCACGCCCUCGGCGGAUGUAUGAGCUAGUAAGAAUCUGAUGACUGUAGAACCACACCAACGACGAAAAAAGCCGUAAAAUGUGUAAUUUGCAUUCGUUGCCAAUUUUACAUGAGUGAAAGGCAUGUCAAUUGAGACAUCACUCUCCUUGUAUAUAACCAGUAUAUUGUCUUCUCUCUCUGCCCCUUUCUCACCUUCUCUUUUCCGCUUUAAAUCCUUUUCUCGCCCCUGUCAGUCAUGAUCUAUUCCGUCAAAUUUAGCUUCAAUGUGAUACUGCGCUGAU